UUUAUUUUUUAUUCUAUCCAUUUUCUUUUCUAUUUAUUAUUCAGAUGCUGUUAUCCAGUUUGCUCCAAUUAGGGUCUUUGAUUUUUUGGUCUUUGCCAGGGUGUUCUGAAUGGUUGCUAGGUGAUUUCAAAUUUGCCCAAGCUGAGCCCAUCUUGAGAGUCCAUCCCAAGUCUAUAAUAUCUACGAUAUUCUGGUUAUGACAGAAUGGCGGAUUCAGCGUUAUCAAGCUCUGUGCGAAGGGUCAAUUGGUGGAUGAAUUAUGAUCUGAAAUCCAAGCAAUGAAUUUCCGGAGGUUAAAAACAAGUGGAGCGGCAGCAUUGUGGAUGCACUGGAGGGGAUAUGUGGUAGAUGCUGGUAGGCCGGGCGAAGAGGUACUAUGCCCUAGGUUAUUAAAAACCCAAAGGCGAAGAAUAGAUCUCCGCUAAUGACAGGAUUAAGAAGAAGAGCCAUUCAUCUUACGCAGAUUUGCCCCGCUGCAUUUCUGCACUCUGCGCUAACUGCACUAGCUUUAAUUGGCCAAGACUGGAGCCGAAAGAUCCUCAAUUAGACACUCGGUGGCGGAUCUCCUGGGUUAAAGAACUGGUGCGGAACAAAAAACAGGCUUAAGACGAGCGGAAGUAAGAACAAAGGGAGGAAACGGGCAAAGGAACCUGAAAGCCCCGGCCUUGACACGUACACACGCUUUCAUCAUUAAAGAAGAACUCAGAAAAAAGGGUCUUCUUAACGUCGGAGCCGAGCGCAUGUGGAUUCCCACCAGCUUCUGCAAAACCUUGGGGGUCCGACUGACAGGCUUGUCUGAUUAAUGGAUGACUUUCUGACUCUCCAUCUUCUCUGUAUGUUAUCCGUUAUGACUUUGAAAAAGACCCUCACGGAGAGCGGCAGAGACACAUCAUUGUUAGCGUGUGGAUUAGGACCUCAAGGUGAAGGAAGAGAAUGGACUGCGUCCAAUACCGUGACAACCUUAAUGAGAUCAUACUUCAUCAUUGACUUCACAGCUGACAUGAACCACAUGGUCCUGGUAGCGCACAUCAAUGGUGCAUAUAGUCCUGCAGAGUGCUCUUUAUCCAACAUUACAAGCAGUCAGAAGACCAUAGAGAGAACGGAGUGGUAUACGAUGACUCAGAAUGUGUGCUGUGACAUUUCAAAACUACAUCGUUUGACCCAGGAGAUCAAGGUUUGUCUGAUGAGCUUAGGCAGGUAGCCCCUGCUGGCAGAUGCUGCUACUACAUCAUGCUGGCAAAAAGCAUGCUUGUAUUCAACAGUAUCCUCACCCAGCUGAAUAUAGUUUUU
Labeo rohita (rohu) is the source of this 1290-nucleotide long non-coding RNA. RefSeq lists it as uncharacterized. The transcript is spliced from 3 exons. NCBI's taxonomy places the organism in Eukaryota, Metazoa, Chordata, Actinopteri, Cypriniformes, Cyprinidae. The record is from RefSeq and is a predicted model, not a curated record.